This is a long non-coding RNA of Capsicum annuum, 1756 nucleotides long. RefSeq lists it as uncharacterized. The record is from RefSeq and is a predicted model, not a curated record. Lineage: Eukaryota; Viridiplantae; Streptophyta; Magnoliopsida; Solanales; Solanaceae. The transcript is spliced from 2 exons.
GCCCUAAAAAUGUGUCACAUAGACUUCAUCGAAAGAAUCAAUUCUUUCCCCCUUUUUAAUUUUUCAUUUCUCCCUCCGUCGGCCGCCCCUACCGCCGGAAUCCCUCUAAAAACCCCUAAAAUCCUUCCUGAUUAUGUAAAUUAAUCCAAUUUUCCACUAAUCGGAAACCCUAAUCACCAAAUUAACCAUGGCUUUCGUGGAACUAGUGGCAAUUGAAGGUCUCCGGUGGUCAUGGAAUUCAUGGCCAGUAUCAAAAUCCGAAUCGUCAGCGUUAAUUAUCCCUUUUAUCAAUUAUGUGUACACCGUUAAUGAAUGAACUUCCUAUACUUCCUUAUGAUCCUCUUAUAUGUAUUCAGUGUGGAGCUGUGUUGAAUCCGUAUGCUCGGGUCGAUUACCAGUCGAGAAUUUGGAUUUUCCUUUUUUGUUACCGGAAGAAUCCGUUUCCGAAAUCUUAUUUAGGAAUUAAUGAGAAUAAUAUACCUGCUGAGCUUUUUCCUACUUAUAGUACAGUUGACUAUCAUUUAGGGAAAAGGGUUUAGGUCAGAAUUCGAAUUCGAGGUCGUUAUCGAAAAUGAAAUUAUUUUCGGGGUUGGAUUAGGCGGGAAAUGGGGUUGGAGGAGGACCGGCGUUUCUGUUUGUUGUAGAUGGUUGUACGUCGAAUGAGGAGCUAAGGGUGGUGAAAAAUGAGCUUCUUCAUGUGAUUGCUUAGUUGCCGGAGAAUGCGUUAGUUGGGUUGGUGGUAUUUGAUUCGAUGGUUAGAGUUUAUGAUCUUGGUUUCGGGGAGUGCUGUAGAGUUGUGAUGUUCCAUGGUAACGUGAGCUUUCUUCCGAGCAGGUAAAAUGUCGUAGAACCUUCUCAUGGAAUUGCGAUGGGUAUAUAUUGUUUUUGUUUUUUUUGUUGUUAAUGUGCGUAUCCAUUAUGUGUACUUAAUUAAUGUAUUUUAACAACUUCCUAUACUUAUGAUCCUCUUGUAUGCAAUGUGGAGUAGUUUUGAACCCAUAUGCUCAUCUCAAUUACCUAUCGAGAAUUUGGAUUUGCCUUUUUUGUUACCGGAAGAAAUCGAAUUCGAGCUCUAAUUUUGGAAACCUGUUAUUGUAAUCGAAAAUGCCUUUGUUUUUGAGCUUGUAUUGAGCGGGAAUUAAUUGUAAAUGAUUUUGGCGAAGAUCACUUAUUAGAUGGUAACAAAUGCUUGGCUUGACAAAAGGGUUGUUUUGGUUGUGGAAAGUCGGGUCACAGAAUUAAAGAUUGCCCAUAUGCUAAGCAGGAAAACAGAGAUCUUGAAGGUCAUCAUCUUAUGCUUACCCACAUCAUCCUUGAUCUUCAUCAAAAGAGGAUCUAAUACCUAUUUCUCCUUUAUUUUCGAACCGUACAUGACAUAUAUACCCUUGAAUUAAUUAAAGUUUAUUUUCGAAAUAAAUAUAAGUCCCCCUUUUGGAAAAAGGACAUUGUAAUAGACAUUCGUUUACAUUGGAUGACAUAAUGCAAUAAUAAUAAAUUAUUAUUGCUUCAAUCGUAUAAAACAAUUAUUAUGUUGGUUUGGCCUCCCUCGCCAAUUUUAUUCUAUAAAUGUUACUUUUGGAAUAACUAUUGUCUUUGUUGCUUUCCUUUAUAAUAAAUUGACAAUAUACACAAAUAGAGAAUAAAUUCAUAAAAUAUGUAACAAAAUAGAAAAUAAUUCAAGAUAAAAGUUCGUUGCUAUAUUUUUUUGGAAUAUAUCAGAGGGGUAAAUAAAGCUAUAAUUAUACUAUAAUUUUAU